This 253-nucleotide ribosomal RNA is filed under the name uncultured bacterium. RNAcentral's name for it is "partial 16S ribosomal RNA". It matches the Rfam family "Bacterial small subunit ribosomal RNA", at positions 524 to 776 of the family's 1533-position model. The record is from RNAcentral.
UACAGAGGGGGCGAGCGUUAUUCGGAAUUAUUGGGCGUAAAGGGCGCGUAGGCGGCCUUGUAAGUCUUGGGUGAAAUCCCUCAGCUCAACUGAGGAACUGCCUUGGAUACUGCAGGGCUUGAGGCCGGGAGAGGGUAGUGGAAUUCCCAGUGUAGCGGUGAAAUGCGUAGAUAUUGGGAGGAACACCGGUGGCGAAGGCGGCUACCUGGACCGGUUCUGACGCUGAUGCGCGAAAGCGUGGGGAGCAAACAGG